CGGGGAGUAGCUCAGUGGUAGAGCUUCCGCUUGUAUGCGGGAAGACGUGGGUUCGAUUCCCGGCUGCUUAU
This 71-nucleotide transfer RNA is filed under the name Toxocara canis (dog roundworm). It matches the Rfam family "tRNA". Rfam says of the family: Transfer RNA (tRNA) molecules are approximately 80 nucleotides in length. Their secondary structure includes four short double-helical elements and three loops (D, anti-codon, and T loops). Lineage: Eukaryota; Metazoa; Nematoda; Chromadorea; Rhabditida; Toxocaridae. The record is from Rfam by way of RNAcentral.